GAUGAACGCUGGCGGCGUGCCUAAUACAUGCAAGUCGAGCGAACAGACGAUGAGCUUGCUCCUCUGACGUUAGCGGCGGACGGGUGAGUAACACGUGGAUAACCUCCCUAUAAUACUGGGAUAACUUCGGGAAACCUGAGCUAAUACCGGAUAACAUGCUGAACCGCAUGGUUCAACAGUUAAAGACGUGCUUGCGGUCACUUAUAGAUGGAUCCGCGCGGCAUUAGCUAGUUGGUCAGGUAACGGCUUACCAAGGCAACGAUGCGUAGCCGACCUGAAAGAGUGAUAGGCCACACGAGAACGGGAACACGGACACGAGUACUACGGGAGGCAGCAGUAGGGAAUCUUCCGCAGUGGGCGAAAGCCUGACGGAGCGACGCCGCGUGAGUGAAGAAGGUCUUCGGAUCGUAAAACUCUGUUAUUAGGGAAGAACAAAUGUGUAAGGAACUAUGCACGUAUUGACGGUACCUAAACAGAAAGCCACGGCUAACUACGUG
RNAcentral lists this ribosomal RNA (497 nucleotides) under uncultured bacterium. Its description in RNAcentral is "partial 16S ribosomal RNA". It matches the Rfam family "Bacterial small subunit ribosomal RNA", at positions 28 to 507 of the family's 1533-position model. The record is from RNAcentral.